AGAAUCUUUCGCAAUGCCCGAAAGGGUGACGAAGCGACGCCGCGUGUGGGAAGAAGGCCUUCGGGUUGUAAACCACUGUCGGGAGUUAAGAAAUGUAAGGAUGUUAAUAGCGUCCUUGCUUGACUAAGGCUCCGGAGGAAGCCACGGCUAACUCUGUGCCAGCAGCCGCGGUAAUACAGAGGCGGCAAGCGUUGUUCGGAAUUAUUGGGCGUAAAGAGCACGUAGGCGGCCUUGAAAGUCAGUUGUGAAAGCCUUCUGCUUAACGGAAGAACAGCAUCUGAUACUACAGGGCUUGAGUGCGGGAGGGGAGAGUGGAACUUCUGGUGGAGCGGUGAAAUGCGUAGAUAUCAGGAGGAACGCCGGCGGCGAAGGCGGCUCUCUGGCCCGUAACUGACGCUGAGUGUGCGAAAGCUAGGGGAUCAAACGGGAUUAGAUACCCCGGUAGUCCUAGCCGUAAACGAUGGGCACUAAGUAGAGGGGUUUUGAUUAUCUCUCUGCCGGAGCUAACGCAUUAAGUGCCCCGCCUGGGAAGUACGGCCGCAAGGCUAAAACUCAAAAGAAUUGACGGGGGCUCGCACAAGCGGUGGAGCAUGUGGCUUAAUUCGAUGCAACGCGAAGAACCUUACCGGGGUUUGACAUGGUAGAAGUAGGAACCAGAAAUGGUAACGAACGGUAUCCAGUCCGUAACUAUCACAGGUGUUGCAUGGCUG
This 710-nucleotide ribosomal RNA is filed under the name uncultured anaerobic ammonium-oxidizing bacterium. Its description in RNAcentral is "bacterial SSU rRNA". It matches the Rfam family "Bacterial small subunit ribosomal RNA", at positions 358 to 1051 of the family's 1533-position model. The record is from RNAcentral.